This 301-nucleotide ribosomal RNA is filed under the name uncultured bacterium. RNAcentral describes it as "partial 16S ribosomal RNA". It matches the Rfam family "Bacterial small subunit ribosomal RNA", at positions 509 to 809 of the family's 1533-position model. The record is from RNAcentral.
CAGCAGCCGCGGUAAUACGUAGGUGGCAAGCGUUGUCCGGAAUUAUUGGGCGUAAAGCGCGCGCAGGCGGAUCGGUCAGUCUGUCUUAAAAGUUCGGGGCUUAACCCCGUGAUGGGAUGGAAACUGCCAAUCUAGAGUAUCGGAGAGGAAAGUGGAAUUCCUAGUGUAGCGGUGAAAUGCGUAGAUAUUAGGAAGAACACCAGUGGCGAAGGCGACUUUCUGGACGAAAACUGACGCUGAGGCGCGAAAGCCAGGGGAGCGAACGGGAUUAGAUACCCCAGUAGUCCCUGUCUCUUAUACA